This 252-nucleotide ribosomal RNA is filed under the name uncultured bacterium. Its description in RNAcentral is "partial 16S ribosomal RNA". It matches the Rfam family "Bacterial small subunit ribosomal RNA", at positions 524 to 776 of the family's 1533-position model. The record is from RNAcentral.
GACAGAGGGUGCAAACGUUGUUCGGAAUUACUGGGCGUAAAGCGCGUGUAGGCGGCCCUGCAAGUCGGAUGUGAAAUCCCACGGCUCAACCGUGGAAGUGCAUCGAAACUGCAGGGCUAGAGUCCUGGAGAGGAAGGUGGAAUGCUUGGUGUAGAGGUGAAAUUCGUAGAUAUCAAGCGGAACACCGGUGGCGAAGGCGGCCUUCUGGACAGUGACUGACGCUGAGACGCGAAAGCGUGGGGAGCAAACAGG